Molecule: RNA transcript, 3247 nt
Organism: Solanum verrucosum
Lineage: Eukaryota; Viridiplantae; Streptophyta; Magnoliopsida; Solanales; Solanaceae
Gene name: sodium/hydrogen exchanger 8-like
Exons: 22
Source: RefSeq, a predicted model, not a curated record
AUGGGUGGGAAGUACUCCACACACCAUUUGUUUGAGCGAUUCCCAAAUUGAGCUAUAAUGGCGACAGUGGAGGAAGGUCCAUUGCCAUACAAUUUAUGGCAAGGAGAGAGCAGCAGCAGUUCUUCUUCUUCGAAUCCAUUAGAUGCAGUACUAUUUGGUGGAAUGAGUUUGUUAAUUGGAGUUUCAUGCAGAACCCUCCUUCGCCGUACUACUAUUCCCUAUACCGUCGUUUUGCUCAUAAUUGGCAUCGCUCUCGGCUCUCUCGAAUUUGGGAGUAUUUAUCGACUGGGAAAGCUUGGGAAUGGAAUUCGAAUAUGGGCAGAUAUAGAUGCUGAUCUUCUAUUAGCUGUAUUCCUCCCUAUACUGAUUUUUGAGGGUGCAUUCUCCAUGGAGGUGCACCAAAUAAAGAAAUGUAUGGCACAAAUGCUUUUGCUUGCUGGACCUGGUGUAUUGAUUUCAACAGUCCUGAUUGGAGCUGCUGUGAAGCUUGUUUUUCCAUUUGACUGGAACUGGAAGACAUCAUUAUUGUUGGGGGCAAUUCUUAGUGCUACUGAUCCUGUGGCUGUUGUCGCUUUGCUUAAGGAUCUCGGUGCUAGUAAAAAGUUGAGCACUAUCGUUGAAGGAGAAUCUAUGAUGAACGACGGGGCAGCUAUUGUGGUUUACCAGCUUUUCUAUCGAAUGGUUCUUGGGAAAAGUUCUGGCUGCAUUGCAGUGGUGGAAUAUCUUGCAGAAGGCUCACUUGGAUCUGUCAUGAUCGGACUUGUGUUUGGCAUAGCAUCUCUUCUCUGGCUUCGGUUUAUAUACAAUGACACACUGACAGACUUUUCGUUGGCUCUUACUGUGAGCUACAUUGCUUACUACACAGCUCAAGAGGAAGCUGAAGCUUCUGGUAUCUUGACUCUCGUGGCACUAGGGAUGGUUUUUGCAAUGUCAAAGGAUACCCAUAGAGCUGGGGGGAAGCAGAGCAUGCAUGAGUUUUGGGAAAUGAUUGCCUACAUUGCGAAUACUUUGAUAUUCAUAUUGAGUGGAGUUAUCAUAGCUCAAAGCAUCUUCAGUAUCGGAUAUCUCGACAACAAUACAGGGAGAUCGUGGGGCUAUGUCUUUCUUCUCUAUAUCAUUCUUCAAGUAGCUCGAACCAUAGUUGUUUUUUGCGUUCUAUCCUGCCCUUUGCUACUUCGGUUAUGGUUUGAAUUGGAAAGAAGCUAUCAUCAUCAUAUGGUCUGGUUUGAGAGGAGCUGUUGGUUUGGCACUCUCCCUAUCUAUUAAAGAUGCUAGUGGUGAUCCAAAGUAUCUCAGCUCAGAAACUGGAGCUAUGUUUGUUUUCCUCACUGGUGGAAGUGUGUUACUGACACUCAUUAUCAAUGGAUCUACCACACAAUUACUUCUAAGUCUCUUUGGUAUGGAUGCUCUAUCAGAAAGUGAGAAAAUCAUGGUCAAUUAUGCAAAGCAUCAACUAUUGAGAAAAGCUGAAGAGUUUUCCCGAAUCUGUAGUGGAAGCAAUAAUCCUUUUGAUUGGAUAACUGUUGGAGGUUAUGCCACAUGCAUAAAAGAUGUCUGUGAAGACACAGUUUGGCCUCCCUGUACCACCAAUCAUGGCUAUCUAGAAAUAAAUGAUAUGAAGACUAUGAGAGUAUGCUUUCUGAAAGCUACUCGUGAGGCUUACUGGUCAACAUUCAACGAGGGGAGGAUAACUGAAUCCAGUAUUAGUGUUUUGAUGGAGUCAAUAGAUGAGGCAAUCGAUCUGGCGACUCAGGGAUUACAUGACUGGAAUUAUAUUUCUACUCGCCUCAAGUUUCCAGGAUAUUAUAAAUUCUUCAGCACAAGUGUUUGUCCUCCCAGACUGACAAGGCGGUUUGUGCUAAAGAAAUUACAGGAUAGUUGUCAUAUAUGCUCUGCAUUUAUCCAUGCUCACAGAAUCGCAAGACAGCUUCUUCUUGACUAUACUGGUGAUAAUGGAAAUGCUGCAAUAGUUGUUGCUGAAAGUGAAGUCGAAGAACUAGAAGCAAGGAAGUUUCUAGAAAAUGUCAAGAAUUCAAUGCCUGAGAUCAUACAUCAAACCGAAUCAAGGCAAGUUACAUUUUCAAUGCUGAAGUGUCUGGAUAAAUGUCUCAGUAAUAUGGAGAAAGAUGGGAUUUUAACUGAGAAAGUUGUGCUGCAUGUACAUGAUUUGCUUCAGAAUGACCUUGAAAAGCUCUUGAGAAGUCCUCCUUCAGUAAGGAUCCCAAAGCCAAGAGAUGUCCUAAGUAUACAUCCUUUGUUGGCAAACCUUUCUCCUGCUAUUCAAAGUGAUUUGGAAUGCUCCGUGAACAGUAUAUUGAAGACACCAGGUUGUACACUCUACACCAAGGGUUCCAAGCUGACAAGUGUUUGGCUGAUAGGAAAUGGAUCAGUUAGGUCGAGAAGGAGCCCUUUUCCUAUUCAUUGUCAUGUGGAUUCAACAUAUCAUCGAGGAAGUGUUUUAGGUCUAUAUGAGGCUCUUGUCGGAAAGCCAUAUUUGAGCGAUAUGGUGACAGAUUCUGUGGCUCUCUGUGUCGAAAUUAAGCUGGAGUUGAUCAUUUCAGUACUGGCCCGUGGAAAUGGCAUAGAAGAACUGUUGUGGAAGGAGUGCACCAUUGUUGUGUCUAAGCUCUUGGCGCCUGAUAUGUUUAAGAAAUUCUCAAUGCAAGAAGUAAGAAGUAUUGUUGAUGAGAGAUCAGUCAUGAAUACUUUCUCAAGUCAAGAAGUAAUAGAAACUUCUCAUCUUUCUAUCAACUUCCUGUUAAGUGGUUGCUUGAGAGAUCAAAGUACCAAACAACUUAUUGAGUGCCCAGCAGUAUUACCAUGUUCCAUUUUGAGUGAAAGCAUCCCGUACAGCAGCGCCAAUGGAACGGCUGAGAGUUCUGGAUCAUGUUCUUAUUCAAAGUACAAAGUUGUGAAACCAGCAAGGAUAGUUCGAAUAGACAUUUCAGCAGUAUGAGAGUUGGCCAUGCAAAACUUUAGAAAGAAGCAAAAAAUUGGUAAGCCAAGGAGAUAACACAAUGUCUAACAUUGAAUUGCGUGGAUUAGUUGGUCGUAGCUUUUUCAUUUUUCAAGAGUGUACUUGCUGUCGUUCUAUGACUUCACUUUUCCAUCACGAAAAAGCUGUAAAGUUACUUGGCUUCAUUAUUCUCUAUGCCGGGGCUAAGAUUGUAUGCCCAUUCUAUUUCUGAUGUCAGUGCAAUUUACACUGCUUGAUAAUUUAUGUAAAAAGUCUGCAGUUGCAAUAUUA